Non-coding RNA from Acanthosepion pharaonis, 114 nucleotides. Lineage: Eukaryota; Metazoa; Mollusca; Cephalopoda; Sepiida; Sepiidae. The record is from the annotation of a GenBank genome assembly.
UACGUCCACAUCACGUUCACACACCGGUUCCCUUACGGUCACCGAAGUUAAGCAACGUUGAGCAUAUCGUCAAUAUCUAGAUGGGUGACCGCUUGGGAAUACCAGCUGCUGUAA